GCGAGGGUGGCUGAGCGGCCAAAGGCGGCGGGCUUAAGACCCGCUCCCGAAGGGGUCCAGGGGUUCGAAUCCCCUCCCUCGCA
Halorhabdus tiamatea SARL4B is the source of this 83-nucleotide non-coding RNA. Lineage: Archaea; Methanobacteriati; Methanobacteriota; Halobacteria; Halobacteriales; Haloarculaceae. The record is from Rfam.